ACGGCUCAGUAACACGUGGAUAACCUGCCCUUGGGUCCGGCAUAACCCCGGGAAACUGGGGAUAAUUCCGGAUAACGCACAUAUGCUGGAAUGCUUUUUGCGUAAAAUGGAUUCGUCUGCCCAAGGAUGGGUCUGCGGCCUAUCAGGUAGUAGUGGGUGUAAUGUACCUACUAGCCUACGACGGGUACGGGUUGUGAGAGCAAGAGCCCGGAGAUGGAUUCUGAGACAUGAAUCCAGGCCCUACGGGGCGCAGCAGGCGCGAAAACUUUACAAUGCGGGAAACCGUGAUAAGGGGACACCGAGUGCCAGCGUCAUACGCUGGCUGUCCAGGUGUGUAAAAUACACCUGUUAGCAAGGGCCGGGCAAGACCGGUGCCAGCCGCCGCGGUAACACCGGCGGCCCGAGUGGUGAUCGUGAUUAUUGGGUCUAAAGGGUCCGUAGCCGGUUUGGUCAGUCCUCCGGGAAAUCUGACAGCUCAACUGUUAGGCUUUCGGAGGAUACUGCCAGACUUGGAACCGGGAGAGGUAAGAGGUACUACAGGGGUAGGAGUGAAAUCUUGUAAUCCCUGUGGGAUCACCUGUGGCGAAGGCGUCUUACCAGAACGGGUUCGACGGUGAGGGACGAAAGCUGGGGGCACGAACCGGAUUAGAUACCCGGGUAGUCCCAGCCGUAAACGAUGCUCGCUAGGUGUCAGGCAUGGCGCGACCGUGUCUGGUGCCGCAGGGAAGCCGUGAAGCGAGCCACCUGGGAAGUACGGCCGCAAGGCUGAAACUUAAAGGAAUUGGCGGGGGAGCAC
RNAcentral lists this ribosomal RNA (796 nucleotides) under uncultured archaeon. RNAcentral's name for it is "bacterial SSU rRNA". It matches the Rfam family "Archaeal small subunit ribosomal RNA", at positions 85 to 879 of the family's 1478-position model. The record is from RNAcentral.